Molecule: long non-coding RNA, 591 nt
Organism: Mus musculus (house mouse)
Lineage: Eukaryota; Metazoa; Chordata; Mammalia; Rodentia; Muridae
Product: predicted gene, 31358
Exons: 3
Source: RefSeq, a predicted model, not a curated record
CGAGGGAGGAGCUUACACCCUGGUUGGAGGACGAGGAGGCGUUUGCGCGGGGAGCCCCAUCUGGGGAAGGCAGAACAGUGCCUUCUCCUGGUUUAUGAAAAAGAAAACAUCUGUGUAUCCUAGCCUGUGACCUGUAGACGUUCAGAGAGAAAGUGAUUCUAUUAAUGGGGCUUCAAGUAGGAAGUAUCUCCUGGCUGAAGGGCCACACCUUCUGGUAGCAGCACUGAUAAAGGACACAGAAGAAGGAAGCUUUUGCUCUUUGUCUGCUUGCAAGUCCAUUCCUUCACUGGCAUUAGAGCUCGCUUCUUCAGGAUUGUGGCAUAUACUGAGGACCAGCUGAAACAUCCAGCCUCUCGGACUGAACAACUACUGAAUUCUUGGACCUUUUCUAGUAGACCAGAUGGACCACAACUCCUAAGCCAUUCUAAUAAAUUGUGUAUGUGUGUGUGUGUGUGUUUUGUAAGUUCUAUUUAUGUAGAGAACUCUACUAAUACAGCCAGAAUCACUUGGCAAUCUCUUAAGAGCCCCAUACCCCUGCCAACACUCAGAGAACCUGUAGUGGGUGCAGGAUAACCACCAAAGGGUAUCUGA